This 510-nucleotide ribosomal RNA is filed under the name uncultured bacterium. RNAcentral's name for it is "partial 16S ribosomal RNA". It matches the Rfam family "Bacterial small subunit ribosomal RNA", at positions 28 to 507 of the family's 1533-position model. The record is from RNAcentral.
GACGAACGCUGGCGGCGUGCUUAACACAUGCAAGUCGAACGAAGAGCGAUGGCAGCUUGCUUCUACUCAUCUUAGUGGCGAACGGGUGAGUAACGCGUAAUCAACCUGCCCCUCUGAGGGGGCCAACAGUUGGAAACGACUGCUAAUACCGCAUACGCCCUAAUCUCGGCAUCGAGGAUAGAUGAAAGGUGGCCUCUACAUGUCAGCUAUCAUUGAAGGAGGGGAUUGCGUCGGUUUCGUAAGAUGGCGGGGUAAGGGCCCACGUAGGCGAGGGUGAGUAGCCGGUCUGAGAUGAUGGGCGGCCACAUUGAGAGUGUGACACGGCCCAGACGGCUACAGGAGGCAGCAGUGGGGAUUCGGCCGCAAUGGGCGAGAGUCAGACGAAGCUGCGCCGCGGGAGUGAUGACGGCCUUCGGGCUGUAAAGCUCUGUUAUUCGGGAGGAAAGGGCUUCUGGCGAAGAGGGAGAGUGAUUGACGGUACCGGAAAAGAAAGCCACGGCUAACUACGUG